This 253-nucleotide ribosomal RNA is filed under the name uncultured bacterium. RNAcentral's name for it is "partial 16S ribosomal RNA". It matches the Rfam family "Bacterial small subunit ribosomal RNA", at positions 524 to 776 of the family's 1533-position model. The record is from RNAcentral.
UACGUAGGGGGCUAGCGUUGUCCGGAAUCAUUGGGCGUAAAGAGCGCGUAGGCGGCCAGAUAAGUCCGGUGUGAAAGUCACAGGCUCAACCUGUGAAUGCCGCUGGAAACUGUCUGGCUAGAGUCCGGAAGGGGCGAGUGGAAUUCCUGGUGUAGCGGUGAAAUGCGCAGAUAUCAGGAGGAACACCAAUGGCGAAGGCAGCUCGCUGGAACGGUACUGACGCUGAGACGCGAAAGCGUGGGGAGCAAACAGG